RNAcentral lists this long non-coding RNA (329 nucleotides) under Elaeis guineensis (African oil palm). RNAcentral describes it as "long non-coding RNA (EGUI_LNC044205)". The record is from RNAcentral. Lineage: Eukaryota; Viridiplantae; Streptophyta; Magnoliopsida; Arecales; Arecaceae.
UCGGUGGGUCCUGUCCCGUCGUUGAAGCUCGUCUGGGAUCCGACUACGAAGAAGCUCGGCUGAAGUCUACUUGUAAUGAAAGUUCGGAAGAAAUGUAUUUACAAUAGGGGCUCGAAUGGAAUUUACUUACAGUAGAGAUCCGGAGUAGACCGUCCAUUGUAGGAGUUCGGGGUAGACCGCUCGUAGUAGAAGUUCGGCUUUCAUAGGAGCCCGGUUGGAAUCCUGAAGGCGGUCGACCGCCGCAGAAACUCGGAUGGAGUGAUUACCGUAGAAACCUCGUUGUCGAAGAAGCUCAGAAAUUGGUGAAGUCCGGAAGGAGUUCGGAGAAU